AUACGGAGGGGGUUAGCGUUGUUCGGAAUUACUGGGCGUAAAGCGCACGUAGGCGGACUGGAAAGUUGGGGGUGAAAUCCCGGGGCCCAACCCCGGAACUGCCUCCAAAACUUCCAAUCUAGAGAUCGAGAGAGGUGAGUGGAAUUCCAAGUGUAGAGGUGAAAUUCGUAGAUAUUUGGAGGACCACCAGUGGCGAAGGCGGCUCACUGGCUCGAUACUGACGCUGAGGUGCGAAAGCGUGGGGAGCAAACAGGAUUAGAUACCCCGGUAGUCC
Molecule: ribosomal RNA, 274 nt
Filed under: uncultured bacterium
Lineage: Bacteria
Description: partial 16S ribosomal RNA
Rfam family: Bacterial small subunit ribosomal RNA
Source: RNAcentral